This 228-nucleotide ribosomal RNA is filed under the name uncultured soil bacterium. Its description in RNAcentral is "partial 16S ribosomal RNA". It matches the Rfam family "Bacterial small subunit ribosomal RNA", at positions 26 to 255 of the family's 1533-position model. The record is from RNAcentral.
AGAUUGAACGCUGGCGGCAGGCCUAACACAUGCAAGUCGAGCGGUAGAGAGGUGCUUGCAUCUCUUGAGAGCGGCGGACGGGUGAGUAAUGCCUAGGAAUCUGCCUAGUGGUGGGGGAUAACGUUCGGAAACGGACGCUAAUACCGCAUACGUCCUACGGGAGAAAGGCGGGGGACCUUCGGGCCUCGCGCCAUUAGAUGAGCCUAGGUCGGAUUAGCUAGUUGGUGA